This 1137-nucleotide long non-coding RNA is filed under the name Eutrema salsugineum. RNAcentral describes it as "long non-coding RNA (ESAL_LNC000008)". The record is from RNAcentral. Lineage: Eukaryota; Viridiplantae; Streptophyta; Magnoliopsida; Brassicales; Brassicaceae.
UUAAAUUACAGUCGCUUUUGUAAUUUCAAGGCUUCUACAUACGUAUCUAUGAGUUUAACUAACCCAUAUUCUUGGUAACAAAAAAAAAUGUAGACAUACGUAUUAUCUCUUACAGAAUCAUAAACAUCUUCUAGAAAGAAAAAAAGAAACUGGGCUAUAGGUCACAAUAAAAGAAGAAUUUGGGCCUACUGUGCGGCCCACACUAAGAUCAUCACAGAUGAUGAUUUCUUAUAUGGAUGGGGGAAAAGCGAAUAACAGACUACUUUUUCUCUCUCUCUUUUUCGUUUAUAUUUCUCGUCUUGAAAACUCGUUUGCGGAUGCUUUAGCCAAGUCGGCACUAGCUUAUAACAACGUUUACUCCACGAAUGGAGGUUAAUCUCUCUCUAAAAUUCAGCAGUUGAUCCACACUAAACAAAAAAAGAGACUAAUUUUCAAAGUUCAGUUUGUCGAAGUGAAACGAUUCGUUCAGUUUAUCAGUUUCUAGAUAAAAUCAUUUUGUAACUCAAAAUCUGUUUUAUUAUUGGAAAGUCGAAUCCAAUGAUUAUAUCUAAUCUACUUUUUAUGGAUAAAAUUUAAACAAUAGAAAUGCAAUUUCUAGCACUUAAUUAUAGUAGUAAAAAAGGAAAAAGAAAAGCGUUGUUGACUGUAAAACAAAAUUACUUGCUUAGCUUCGCCCCGCGACGUUUGCCGAUCAUCGGCCGUCUCCACGAUCUUCAGAUCCGCCGCCGACUCCGACGGUGUCUGGAAUCAUUUCUUACCUUCCGAAUUCCCCGACGGCUUUGCGGCACCUGAGGCUGAGGGUCUUCUUCCCAAUAGGAAAGGCCUCUUCUUCUCCCUCGUCCACAAUCCUCUUCUUCUCCCCGACGCCCUUUUGGUUUCUUUCUCCUCUCUCUUGUUACUUGCUACUUCCUUUAUCGACUCCAAUUAUAUCCGAUUUCCAGUUUGUUUUUAUGUCAAUUUAUUUAGCUGUCCAAUCUCAGAAACUACCAUGGGAUAUUUAUAAACAUAUGUGACAUUAAUCUUUUGGGUUUAAACAUACUAAAUGGCGGUCUUAAAUCUUUAAUAAUGCUUACUGAAGGAAUGUCUUUCUUUUUUUAAUAUGGUUCUCUACCCGAUAGCAAUUUCAAAACAAAGCAG